RNAcentral lists this long non-coding RNA (1050 nucleotides) under Suricata suricatta (meerkat). RNAcentral describes it as "lncRNA (ENSSSUG00005013792.1)". The record is from RNAcentral. Lineage: Eukaryota; Metazoa; Chordata; Mammalia; Carnivora; Herpestidae.
CAGCAGGCCUGGGGCUGCCCAGGUCUUGCUGCUUUUCCCUUGGCAGCUCUCAAGUCCGGGGGGCAGAGGGGGGUCUGGGCCAGUUGGGGUCUGCCAGGCCAUCCCCGCAGCCCCCCUCCACCCUACCCCACAGGGACCCCCGCCUCCCAUCUGAGAGGACAGCUCUCUCCCUGGAGUUGGGAUCUGACGCUUGCUGGUACCAACAGCAGAUUUACCAGCAGGAAGAAACUAGAAGAAACUCAGGGAGCAAGGACCCCUGGGGCUUUUCACCGUGGGGCUACUCCGAAGGGCCCGGGGAGACAGUUGGAACACUUCCGGCACCACCGCCCUGUAAGUGCCUCCAUUGUAUCGUUCCUGGGAACUGGCUUCCGGCUGAUGUCAUCUGUAUGCAAAGCAAGAACUUUCCUGCACGGUUUCAGUUCAUCUUCACAAUAACCCUGUAAGGCAUGUGUUGGUCAACAUAGCAAUACUCAUACACUUUACUCACGACAUUGGUUGUACCUGCAGAGCUAUCCUGAGCAGAACUGGCAUUAUUAACCUGUUUUUCACAACAACACAUGGAACUCAAAGUGAUAAAGUUCAACCCAUCACUGUGGGGUGCAGUGGUUAACAUCAAAGUCAUCCUCCAGCCAAGAUGGAAGGAAUCAGGGUCCCUGAGUGAAGGACAAACUCUUCUAUCCUACAUUUUGGAUGUGUUUGUUACACCAGCCAGCAUCACCCUUACUAAUGCAAUACCUGCAUUUGAAUCCUAGCUCUGCCUUUUGAAGUCUGUAGUUUGGGGUAAGUUAUCUCUCUGAGCCUUUGUUACCUCUUCUGAGAAAUGGGUAUAAUGUCAGAACCCACCUACCUCAAUGGGCAGUUGUAAAAUUAAAAGAAGUGAUUUUUAUAAAUUGUUUAGAAUGGUGCCUGGGCCAUAGUAAAUACUAUAGAAAUAAUCAAGUUAAUCAGAGCUAAGAUAUGAAGGAGCCAGGACCAGAUAUGGGCCACAUGAUGCUAAGUUAAGUAUCUGAGUCCAAAGUCCUAGGCAUUUCUAUUUCUCUUUACAAUCAA